GCAGUGGUGGUUCAGUGGUAGAAUUCUCGCCUGCCGCGCGGGAGGCCCGGGUCCAAUUCCAGGCCAUUGCA
RNAcentral lists this transfer RNA (71 nucleotides) under Danio rerio (zebrafish). It matches the Rfam family "tRNA". From Rfam's summary of the family: Transfer RNA (tRNA) molecules are approximately 80 nucleotides in length. Their secondary structure includes four short double-helical elements and three loops (D, anti-codon, and T loops). Further hydrogen bonds mediate the characteristic L-shaped molecular structure. tRNAs have two regions of fundamental functional importance: the anti-codon, which is responsible for specific mRNA codon recognition, and the 3' end, to which the tRNAs corresponding amino acid is attached (by aminoacyl-tRNA synthetases). tRNAs cope with the degeneracy of the genetic code in two manners: having more than one tRNA (with a specific anti-codon) for a particular amino acid; and 'wobble' base-pairing, i.e. permitting non-standard base-pairing at the 3rd anti-codon position. The record is from Rfam by way of RNAcentral. Lineage: Eukaryota; Metazoa; Chordata; Actinopteri; Cypriniformes; Danionidae.